Molecule: long non-coding RNA, 290 nt
Organism: Geospiza fortis (medium ground-finch)
Lineage: Eukaryota; Metazoa; Chordata; Aves; Passeriformes; Thraupidae
Source: Ensembl
CUCCCGUGACGGCGCCGAUAAAAGUUCCAGCAGGUACCUCCCUACGAAGCCCCGCAGACCUUAAGCUUCUUGGCAGCAAGGUCUCGCUCCAGUGUUUGGUUUGUUUCCACUGCCGGAUGGAACAAUUCCUGCAAAUGGGUGCUUGUCGAAGGUGGGGCUGAUGGUGACAGUAGUGUUCUGAAUGGGCCAAGUGAUUGUUUGGAGAAGGCUGAACUGAGUGUUUCUCGUCAGUCAAAAAGGCAGAGAUGAAGCCUGGGAAAUCAUCACAUCUAAAGGAUUUACUUGGAGUA